This 253-nucleotide ribosomal RNA is filed under the name uncultured bacterium. RNAcentral describes it as "partial 16S ribosomal RNA". It matches the Rfam family "Bacterial small subunit ribosomal RNA", at positions 524 to 776 of the family's 1533-position model. The record is from RNAcentral. RNAcentral also lists the same sequence under 1 other name.
UACGAAGGGGGCUAGCGUUGUUCGGAAUUACUGGGCGUAAAGCGCACGUAGGCGGAUUGGCAAGUCAGGGGUGAAAUCCCGGGGCUCAACCUCGGAACUGCCUUUGAUACUGCCAGUCUAGAGUCCGGAAGAGGUGGGUGGAAUUCCUAGUGUAGAGGUGAAAUUCGCAGAUAUUAGGAAGAACACCGGUGGCGAAGGCGGCCCACUGGUCCGGAACUGACGCUGAGGUGCGAAAGCGUGGGGAGCAAACAGG